This 305-nucleotide ribosomal RNA is filed under the name uncultured bacterium. RNAcentral describes it as "bacterial SSU rRNA". It matches the Rfam family "Bacterial small subunit ribosomal RNA", at positions 338 to 660 of the family's 1533-position model. The record is from RNAcentral.
CCUACGGGGGGCAGCAGUCGGGAAUAUUGCGCAAUGGAGGAAACUCUGACGCAGUGACGCCGCGUAUAGGAAGAAGGUUUUCGGAUUGUAAACUAUUGUCAUUAGGGAAGAUAAAAGACUGUACCUAAGGAGGAAGCCCCGGCUAACUAUGUGCCAGCAGCCGCGGUAAUACGGAGGAUGCGAGCGUUAUCCGGAUUUAUUGGGUUUAAAGGGUGCGUAGGCGGACUGGAAAGUCAGCGGUAAAAUCGAGAGGCUCAACCUCUUUCCGCCGUUGAAACUGUCGGUCUUGAGUGGGCGAGAAGUAU